GGCUGUCGUCAGCUCGAGUUGUGAAAUUUUGGGUUAAAUCCCGCAAGAAGCCCAACCCUUAUCUUUUUUUCCCACCCGUUAGGCUGGGCACUCUAAGGAGACUGCCGGUGAUAAACCGGAGGAAGGUGGGGAUGACGUCAAGUCAUCAUGGCCCUUACGACCAGGGCUACACACGUGCUACAAUGGCGGGUACAAAGGGUUGCGACCUCGCGAGGGGGAGCCAAUCCCAUAAAGCCGGUCGUAGUCCGGAUUGCAGUCUGCAACUCGCCUCCAUGAAGUCGGAAUCGCUAGUAAUCGCGGA
This 301-nucleotide ribosomal RNA is filed under the name uncultured bacterium. Its description in RNAcentral is "bacterial SSU rRNA". It matches the Rfam family "Bacterial small subunit ribosomal RNA", at positions 1047 to 1348 of the family's 1533-position model. The record is from RNAcentral.